GUUUAUUGCAUGAUAGGGACCAAUAUCACCAACUACCACACCCUCCAAUGUUGGCAUAACAAACAAAUAUUAAAAGCAAUUAAACAUAAGGAUCUCACCCUCAAUACUGCCUUAAAAGGAUAUGCUUUCCAUACUGAAAAAACAUGUACAGUUAAGAAUUUUAUUUAGUAGAUGAUCUGCUUCUAAUAAACAGUAAUAUUUAAAGGUCAUUAAAGAAAAAAAAAAUAAAUGCCGUGUGUAUCCGACUAUUUCAUGAUCAGGACAGGAGACAUGACACCAGGUUUAGAGCAGACGAUGGAUGACCUAUCACUUUCAGUUGACUGGAGUACGGGCUCGGCUCCGAAUGGCCCAAUGGAAACUAUGGGCCACGGCCACUAAAGGAAGCUUAAUAGAAUAAUUGGGCUACAUGGAGCUGGACACUAGCCAGCGCCCAGCAGAAUCGAGAAGGCAGUCUGGUAGUCUGGUUUUUAAGCAGUGACCUCUCCCACUAAUGAAAACUUGCCUAUUCAAAUUACUGAAGAUUUCAACUAUCCAAUCUUGAAACAUUUCUGGAAUUUGGCUUGAAGAAGUAAACUCAUUUUGAGUGGUAAAAUAGGCAACUAAACAAAGCUAAUGAAGCAUGGAACUGAAAUGUUGCUCGUGAGUCAAAUAAGCACUUCAAACGUAAGUGCAUCAGGUGUACAUUUCAGAAUCAAAAGGACGAUCAUAGAUAUUACCAAACCUUAAAACUUAUCCUGUGCAUCUCCUUUAGAGCCCAGGUCAAUGCCAUGCAACACAGUUCUCUGCAGGAUAGACUUAUGAGUUACCACGGAACCACCAUAUUCAGGCCAGGAAAGAUGAGAGUUCCUCAUCUGGCAUCGGGCUAGGAGUGCAGCUGCCAAACCAUCCACCAUACUCCCCAAGGGAAAAUAGUCCACACCUUUCAGUAAGGAUGAACCUCCAUAAACACCAUCUUGCCCUUUCCUCUCUGCCAACGUCUCUAGCUUGAAAGCACAUGUUUCAUCAGAUGAAAGCUUACCCCUGAAAUUCUGGCUCUGAACUGAAUCCAAGAUUAGAACCCUCGCAGGAAUUAUUUGUUCACCAAUAAGCAACUUAGCAACCACGUUAAUUAGAUCUCUCAGCACUGAGAAAGGGAUCUCGGGUAGCCGGAAGACACUGCCAAUUAGGGUCUUUGAGAAUACGCGGUCAAAGACAUAAAGAGAUGAGAAGAGAUGGACAAAGUGGUAGAUCGGGUUUAGGAUUAGAAAACAGAAGGAAAGGAGACGGAAGUGUCGGUGAUGGAGUAGUUAAGUUGUUGGGAUCUUCCUGAAAGAACCUUGAAGGUGGUGGAAUCUCUGUAAGAACGUCUUCCAUGGUGCAAAAUGAACAAACUGCUUAUGACAGUAGACAACUCAUCAGUUUCAUUGCUCCAGUCAUUCGUCAAAAAGGGUUGUAGAUUAACGUAACCCCAUAAGCAAUUCACAGUUCAAGUAAUCUUUUAUCAAUUACUUUUGAUCCAAAGCAAAGCACCGCAAACCAUUAAUUUCAGAAAAUAUGAUCACGUAGUAAUCAACGGCAGAAAUAUGAGCUCAUAAGCCAGAAAAUUGGUCUUUUAAUAUUCAGGACAAACCGUAACCCACAAAUCUUAGGCUUCCAGGAAGCCCAUCUUUAUACUUCACCAACGUUAUCCGGGGAAACAAACGAAUUCAGAUGGGAGACCGAAUAUUCACAAAAAGAAGAAAGAAAUAGAAAUGAAAACACACUUAGAAGAGUUUGGAAAAUGAUGUUGUUGAGGAGAAGCAGAGUAGAAAGCUUAGGUGGGAUUGUAAUUUUUAGUGCGGAUCAAAAAAUUUGUCAGCAAAAUGCACUAAAUAAAAAAUUUGAGUUAAUUACAAUCUGAAAUCGGACCAGCAAAAUGUUUAUUCAAAAAAAAAAAAAAUCAUUGAUCAAACUCAAAAAAUCACAUGGGCAUACAAUAAUGUAAAAGUACCUUAACUAGAACUAAACUCCUAUCCUUAGGGAACAAGGAAAAAUUAAAUGUAAUGAAAAGCCCUCAAAAUUGGCUGGGGGCUAAGUUCAUAGUUUUUAAAUCAAUUUAAGCUUUCUUACAACAGAUCAUUGGCGAGCAAAUAAACUCAGAAGUAAGGUGCAUAUGAAUAAUCAACCUACUCACACAAUGCAGCCUUUCAUUUCCAUUUCAACAUCUGAUUUUAAGUCCAUCAGCAAACCCUUGAAUUGCAGAGGAUCUUUGUUUGGACCAGUCCUCCAAAUUUGGCUAUAAAAUACAUCAGAUGUGUAAAACCACAGGUCCCUCAACUGCAGAAGGAAUGGCAGAGACAAAUAUUUUCUUUUCAUUUAAUUUAGUGAAAUCAAACUAGGAUAAUGCAAUAAAAAUGAUGCAUGCCUUGUGUAUAAAGAAUGAAUAUAUUAAAUGCCUUUCAACCCUCAUAAUAAUGAGAUAUUUCAUUGUACUUUAUGCAGCAGUGUAGUUCACAUCUUACCCAAAAGAAGAGAAAGCACCAAUCAAUAAUUUUUAUUUUUGGUAUUACACUAUUACUAGUUUAAAGUUGAAUUAUCUUAUUGUUUUGAUGAGCAAGAACAAAAUCAUGCAGAAAAAUGCAUGCAAAUACAAUGAGAUGUCCAAAUGGCUCCCCCAAAACACUACCUUCGUGUCAGUUAUGUUGAGGCAGUAGUUAAUGCUUUUGGUCAAUCUUCAUGUUCAUCUUCAGAAUCAGAUCGAACGUCAUCACUAAUCUGACCCCUUGCUUGGAUUUGCUUAACAAGCAUCCGAUAUAUCAGGACCCACCAGUAAAUAUGGAGAACAAGCAAGCAAUACAGAAGCGUAUUAAACACAUAAUAAUAGAUUGGACCAUCCACUGGAUGCUUUUUCUUGUCUAAGGUCUGGACAACUUCAUAACUUGUACUCCAAAGGACCCAGAAUGGAUAGUAAAUUAGGCGCAGUAUGAUCCAAGACAAAACAAAAAGAAUAAAUGCAAAGCUAGCCAUCCCUUCAGCACCACUGUAUUUGGACAUCUUUCCUAUCUCCAAAAAUAUAUCACUAGCAUCAUGAAGAGCUAAAACAACUGAACCAACACGGGCAAACCUGAGUAUGUAGGACAGCACAAUGAGAAUGACAGUUGCAACAUGAUGACUCAUUGACACUCCAAAGUCCGAACGCCUUGUUUCCCAGAAUAUGAGAGCAAAUAUGGAGUAUGUGUAAAAUCCAGCAGCAUACAUAUACAACGCUUUCAACUUUAACUUCAUUUUUUGGUCUGGCCAGACUUGACUUCCUGGCCCUACCCAAAAGCACUUUGUGUUGGUAAACCAAGGCUCAUUGUAAGUAACAGUCAAAGCUAGAAUCUCUCCUGAAAGAAAAUAUACGCAUUUCCAAGCAGACUCCUUGAAUUUUCGUAUCUUCUUCUUUCUCUCAUCUGUCUCCACAUCCAAUGUCUGAUGACCUUUUCCAAAAAUUAAUCGUCUUGCCACUUUCUGGAAUACAAAUCUAUCAAGAAAGAACCGGACUGUUGGGAAGAACAGAGCAAAGAAAGGUAGAAUAAUGUAAUCUUCAUAAGCAGGGUACGAUUCAUUCCCCCAUUCAAUUGAUUUCACGUAAUCCAUAAAACCCAUCAGAGAUCUUUUCCUUUCUAUUGAUCCCAGAAUUUUCGAGAAACAAAUAAAAAGUAGAGGUUGUUGUAAAUCUCAUACACGAGCAAAAAAGAAACUUUCGUUUUCAACUCUGUUUCUGAAAAAUCAGAUUUUUAAUCGUCAGAAAAAUCCAACCAUUAAAAUAUAAACAUUCCGUUGGUGGGGUGAUUGGGUUUUUGCAAUUUGC
This 3811-nucleotide unclassified non-coding RNA is filed under the name Hevea brasiliensis (rubber tree). Lineage: Eukaryota; Viridiplantae; Streptophyta; Magnoliopsida; Malpighiales; Euphorbiaceae. The record is from RNAcentral.